UACGAAGGGGGCUAGCGUUGUUCGGAAUCACUGGGCGUAAAGCGCACGUAGGCGGAUCUUUAAGUCAGGGGUGAAAUCCCGAGGCUCAACCUCGGAACUGCCUUUGAUACUGGGGAUCUCGAGUCCGGGAGAGGUGAGUGGAACUGCGAGUGUAGAGGUGAAAUUCGUAGAUAUUCGCAAGAACACCAGUGGCGAAGGCGGCUCACUGGCCCGGAACUGACGCUGAGGUGCGAAAGCUAGGGGAGCAAACGGG
This 253-nucleotide ribosomal RNA is filed under the name uncultured bacterium. RNAcentral describes it as "partial 16S ribosomal RNA". It matches the Rfam family "Bacterial small subunit ribosomal RNA", at positions 524 to 776 of the family's 1533-position model. The record is from RNAcentral.